Molecule: ribosomal RNA, 253 nt
Filed under: uncultured bacterium
Lineage: Bacteria
Description: partial 16S ribosomal RNA
Rfam family: Bacterial small subunit ribosomal RNA
Source: RNAcentral
UACGGGGGGGGUAAGCGUUGUUCGGAAUUACUGGGCGUAAAGGGCUCGUAGGCGGCCAACUAAGUCGGACGUGAAAUCCCUCAGCUUAACUGGGGAACUGCGUCCGAUACUGGAUGGCUUGGAUUUGGGAGAGGGAUGCGGAAUUCCAGGUGUAGCGGUGAAAUGCGUAGAUAUCUGGAGGAACACCGGUGGCGAAGGCGGCAUCCUGGACCAAUACUGACACUGAGGAGCGAAAGCCAGGGGAGCAAACGGG